RNAcentral lists this ribosomal RNA (245 nucleotides) under uncultured bacterium. Its description in RNAcentral is "partial 16S ribosomal RNA". It matches the Rfam family "Bacterial small subunit ribosomal RNA", at positions 335 to 598 of the family's 1533-position model. The record is from RNAcentral.
GCCCUACGGGGGGCAGCAGUGGGGAAUAUUGCACAAUGGGGGAAACCCUGAUGCAGCGACGCCGCGUGAGUGAAGAAGUAUUUCGGUACGUAAAGCUCUAUCAGCAGGGAAGAAAAUGACGGUACCUGACUAAGAAGCCCCGGCUAACUACGUGCCAGCAGCCGCGGUAAUACGUAGGGGGCAAGCGUUAUCCGGAUUUACUGGGUGUAAAGUGAGCGUAUACGGCAGCGCAAGUCUGGAGUCUA